UACAGAGGUGGCAAGCGUUGUUCGGAAUUACUGGGCGUAAAGGGCGCGUAGGCGGCUUGGUCAGUCCCGUGUGAAAUCCCUCGGCUCAACUGAGGAACUGCACGGGAAACUGCCUGGCUUGAGUCCGGGAGAGGGAAGCGGAAUUCCGGGUGUAGCGGUGAAAUGCGUAGAUAUCCGGAGGAACACCGGUGGCGAAGGCGGCUUCCUGGACCGACACUGACGCUGAGGCGCGAAAGCGUGGGGAGCAAACAGG
This 253-nucleotide ribosomal RNA is filed under the name uncultured bacterium. Its description in RNAcentral is "partial 16S ribosomal RNA". It matches the Rfam family "Bacterial small subunit ribosomal RNA", at positions 524 to 776 of the family's 1533-position model. The record is from RNAcentral.